GGGAAUUUUGCGCAAUGGGCGAAAGCCUGACGCAGCAACGCCGCGUGGGUGACGAAGUCCCUUGGGACGUAAAACCCUGUCAGAUGGGACGAAAAAGCCCGCAAGGGCAUUGACUGUACCAUCAGAGGAAGCCCCGGCUAACUCCGUGCCAGCAGCCGCGGUAAUACGGGGGGGGCAAGCGUUGUUCGGAAUUACUGGGCGUAAAGGGCGUGUAGGCGGCCCGGCAAGUCAGUUGUGAAAUCCCCAGGCUCAACUUGGGAAUUGCAACUGAAACUGCCAGGCUAGAGUUCUGGAGAGGAGAGCGGAACUCCCAGUGUAGCGGUGAAAUGCGUAGAUAUUGGGAGGAACACCGGUGGCGAAGGCGGCUCUCUGGACAGAAACUGACGCUGAGGCGCGAAAGCUAGGGGAGCAAACGGGAUUAGA
Molecule: ribosomal RNA, 423 nt
Filed under: uncultured bacterium
Lineage: Bacteria
Description: bacterial SSU rRNA
Rfam family: Bacterial small subunit ribosomal RNA
Source: RNAcentral